RNAcentral lists this unclassified non-coding RNA (157 nucleotides) under uncultured Helotiales. Its description in RNAcentral is "sequence contains ITS1". The record is from RNAcentral. Lineage: Eukaryota; Fungi; Ascomycota; Leotiomycetes; Helotiales.
ACGAGAUCAUGCCCUCACGGGUAGACCUCCCACCCUUGAAUAUCAUACCUUCGUUGCUUUGGCGGGCCGCCUCGGCCACCGGCUUAGGCUGGUGAGUGCCCGCCAGAGGACCCUAAACUCUUGUUUACAGUGUCGUCUGAGUACUAUACAAUAGUUA